RNAcentral lists this ribosomal RNA (253 nucleotides) under uncultured bacterium. RNAcentral's name for it is "partial 16S ribosomal RNA". It matches the Rfam family "Bacterial small subunit ribosomal RNA", at positions 524 to 776 of the family's 1533-position model. The record is from RNAcentral.
UACGUAGGGUGCAAGCGUUAAUCGGAAUUACUGGGCGUAAAGCGUGCGCAGGCGGUGAUGUAAGACAGUUGUGAAAUCCCCGGGCUCAACCUGGGAACUGCAUCUGUGACUGCAUCGCUGGAGUGCGGCAGAGGGGGAUGGAAUUCCGCGUGUAGCAGUGAAAUGCGUAGAGAUGCGGAGGAACACCGAUGGCGAAGGCAGCCCCCUGGGCUGACACUGACGCUCAGGCACGAAAGCGUGGGGAGCAAACAGG